GACGAACGCUGGCGGCGUGCUUAACACAUGCAAGUCGAACGGUAAGGCCCUUCGGGGUACACGAGUGGCGAACGGGUGAGUAACACGUGGGUGAUCUGCCCUGCACUUCGGGAUAAGCCUGGGAAACUGGGUCUAAUACCGGAUAGGACUCCUGCCUGCAUGGGUGGGGGGGGAAAGCUUUUGCGGUGUGGGAUGGGCCCGCGGCCUAUCAGCUUGUUGGUGGGGUGAUGGCCUACCAAGGCGACGAUGGGUAGCCGGCCUGAGAGGGUGACCGGCCACACUGGGACUGAGAUACGGCCCAGACUCCUACGGGAGGCAGCAGUGGGGAAUAUUGCACAAUGGGCGCAAGCCUGAUGCAGCGACGCCGCGUGAGGGAUGACGGCCUUCGGGUUGUAAACCUCUUUCAGCACAGACGAAGCGCAAGUGACGGUAUGUGCAGAAGAAGGACCGGCCAACUACGUGCCAGCAGCCGCAGUAA
RNAcentral lists this ribosomal RNA (478 nucleotides) under uncultured bacterium. RNAcentral's name for it is "partial 16S ribosomal RNA". It matches the Rfam family "Bacterial small subunit ribosomal RNA", at positions 28 to 523 of the family's 1533-position model. The record is from RNAcentral.